UACGUAGGGUGCAAGCGCUAAUCGGAAUUACUGGGCGUAAAGCGUGCGCAGGCGGUUUUGUAAGUCUGUCGUGAAAUCCCCCGGGCUCAACCUGGGAAUUGCGAUGGAGACUGCAAGGCUAGAAUCUGGCAGAGGGGGGUAGAAUUCCACGUGUAGCAGUGAAAUGCGUAGAGAUGUGGAGGAACACCAAUGGCGAAGGCAGCUCUCUGGACCGUUACUGACGCUGAGGCGCGAAAGCGUGGGGAGCAAACAGG
This 254-nucleotide ribosomal RNA is filed under the name uncultured bacterium. Its description in RNAcentral is "partial 16S ribosomal RNA". It matches the Rfam family "Bacterial small subunit ribosomal RNA", at positions 524 to 776 of the family's 1533-position model. The record is from RNAcentral.